RNAcentral lists this long non-coding RNA (236 nucleotides) under Medicago truncatula (barrel medic). RNAcentral describes it as "long non-coding RNA (MTRU_LNC001248)". The record is from RNAcentral. Lineage: Eukaryota; Viridiplantae; Streptophyta; Magnoliopsida; Fabales; Fabaceae.
CCUCAAUUAGCCAGACAUAAAUAAACUGAAAUUACUGUAUUUAUUGAAAAGGAAUCAAAUGGGACACUAGAGCGUGUGAAAGUAGAUUCAAUUCAACACACCGUAAAAACACGCAUUCUUAAUAGGCACAGCUAACUGGUUGGUACUGGCAGCAUUGAAUUUCAAUCGUGUGAUUUGGACAUAAACCUACAACAUAUUUGUACUUGCUUAGUUUCUUCCAUGUUUAGGUUGUGUGA